GCGCUUACUUCAGCAGCACAUACAGAUCGAAAUGACACAGAGAAGAUUAGCAUAGUCCCUGCACAGUGAUGACACACAAAUUCGUGAAGCAUUCCAUAUUUUU
This is a small nuclear RNA of Vulpes vulpes (red fox), 103 nucleotides long. Lineage: Eukaryota; Metazoa; Chordata; Mammalia; Carnivora; Canidae. The record is from Ensembl.